UACGUAGGUGGCAAGCGUUGUCCGGAUUUACUGGGCGUAAAGAGCGCGCAGGCGGUCGUUCAAGUCGCGUGUGAAAGCCCCCGGCUCAACUGGGGAGGGUCACGCGAUACUGAUCGACUCGAAGGCAGGAGAGGGUAGUGGAAUUCCCGGUGUAGUGGUGAAAUGCGUAGAUAUCUGGAGGAACACCGGUGGCGAAGGCGGCAUCCUGGACCGAUACUGACGCUGAGGAGCGAAAGCGUGGGGAGCAAACAGG
Molecule: ribosomal RNA, 253 nt
Filed under: uncultured bacterium
Lineage: Bacteria
Description: partial 16S ribosomal RNA
Rfam family: Bacterial small subunit ribosomal RNA
Source: RNAcentral